GCCGGAAUAGCUCAGUUGGUAGAGCAGAGGACUAAAWC
RNAcentral lists this transfer RNA (38 nucleotides) under Myurella tenerrima. RNAcentral's name for it is "partial tRNA-Phe". The record is from RNAcentral. Lineage: Eukaryota; Viridiplantae; Streptophyta; Bryopsida; Hypnales; Plagiotheciaceae.